This 497-nucleotide ribosomal RNA is filed under the name uncultured bacterium. Its description in RNAcentral is "partial 16S ribosomal RNA". It matches the Rfam family "Bacterial small subunit ribosomal RNA", at positions 28 to 507 of the family's 1533-position model. The record is from RNAcentral.
GAUGAACGCUGGCGGCGUGCCUAAUACAUGCAAGUCGAGCGAACAGACGAGGAGCUUGCUCCUCUGACGUUAGCGGCGGACGGGUGAGUAACACGUGGAUAACCUACCUAUAAGACUGGGAUAACUUCGGGAAACCGGAGCUAAUACCGGAUAAUAUAUUGAACCGCAUUGUUCAAUAGUGAAAGACGGUUUUGCUGUCACUUAUAGAUGGAUCCGCGCCGCAUUAGCUAGUUGGUAAGGUAACGGCUUACCAAGGCAACGAUGCGUAGCCGACCUGAGAGGGUGGUCGGCCACACUGGAACUGAGACACGGUACAGACUCCGACGGGAGGCAGCAGUAGGGAAUCUUCCGCAAUGGGCGAAAGCCUGACGGAGCAACGCCGCGUGAGUGAUGAAGGUCUUCGGAUCGUAAAACUCUGUUAUUAGGGAAGAACAAAUGUGUAAGUAACUAUGCACGUCUUGACGGUACCUAAUCAGAAAGCCACGGCUAACUACGUG